AGUGAACGCUGGCGGUAGGCCUAACACAUGCAAGUCGAACGGCAGCACAGUAAGAGCUUGCUCUUACGGGUGGCGAGUGGCGGACGGGUGAGGAAUACAUCGGAAUCUACUUUUUCGUGGGGGGUAACGUAGGGAAACUUACGCUAAUACCGCAUACGACCUACGGGUGAAAGCAGGGGAUCUUCGGACCUUGCGCGAUUGAAUGAGCCGAUGUGGGAUUAGCUAGUUGGCGGGGGAAAGGCCCACCAAGGCGACGAUCCGUAGCUGGUCUGAGAGGCUGAUCAGCCACCUUGGAACUGAGACACGGUCCAUACUCCUACGGGAGGCAGCAGUGUGGAAUAUUGGACAAUGGGGGCAAGCCUGAUCCAACCAUACCGCGUGGGUGAAGAAGGCCUUCGGGUCGGAAAGCCCUUUUGUUGGGAAAGAAAAGCAGCAGGUUAAUACCCCGCUGUUCUGACGGUACCCAAAGAAUAAGCACCGGCUAACUUCGUG
RNAcentral lists this ribosomal RNA (492 nucleotides) under uncultured bacterium. Its description in RNAcentral is "partial 16S ribosomal RNA". It matches the Rfam family "Bacterial small subunit ribosomal RNA", at positions 29 to 507 of the family's 1533-position model. The record is from RNAcentral.